This 270-nucleotide ribosomal RNA is filed under the name uncultured bacterium. Its description in RNAcentral is "partial 16S ribosomal RNA". It matches the Rfam family "Bacterial small subunit ribosomal RNA", at positions 29 to 306 of the family's 1533-position model. The record is from RNAcentral.
AACGAACGCUGGCGGCAUGCCUAACACAUGCAAGUCGAACGAGACCCUCGGGUUCGCCUGGUGGUCUAGUGGCGCACGGGUGAGUAGCGCGUGGGAACCUGCCCUGUUGUGGGGGAUAACCGGGGGAAACUCCGGCUAAUACCGCAUGCGCCCCGGGGUAACUCGGGGGAAAGAUUUAUCGCAGCAGGAGGGGCCCGCGUCGGAUUAGCUAGUUGGUGGGGUAACGGCCCACCAAGGCGAUGAUCCGUAGCUGGUCUGAGAGGAUGAUCA